Molecule: ribosomal RNA, 739 nt
Filed under: Listeria monocytogenes
Lineage: Bacteria; Bacillati; Bacillota; Bacilli; Caryophanales; Listeriaceae
Description: partial 23S ribosomal RNA
Rfam family: Bacterial large subunit ribosomal RNA
Source: RNAcentral
CGAGGCCGAUAGGCGUAGGCGAUGGACAACAGGUAGAGAUUCCUGUACCAGUGCUAAUUGUUUAACCGAUGGGGUGACACAGAAGGAUAGGGAAUCGCACGAAUGGAAAUGUGCGUCCAAGCAGUGAGUGUGAGAAGUAGGCAAAUCCGCUUCUCGCGAAGCAUGAGCUGUGAUGGGGAAGGAAAUUAAGUACGGAAGUUCCUGAUUUCACGCUGUCAAGAAAAGCCUCUAGGAAGAGUAGUACUGCCCGUACCGCAAACCGACACAGGUAGAUGAGGAGAGAAUCCUAAGGUGAGCGAGAGAACUCUCGUUAAGGAACUCGGCAAAAUGACCCCGUAACUUCGGGAGAAGGGGUGCUCUAUUAGGGUGCAAGCCCGAGAGAGCCGCAGUGAAUAGGCCCAGGCGACUGUUUAGCAAAAACACAGGUCUCUGCAAAACCGUAAGGUGACGUAUAGGGGCUGACGCCUGCCCGGUGCUGGAAGGUUAAGAGGAGUGCUUAGCUUCGGCGAAGGUACGAAUUGAAGCCCCAGUAAACGGCGGCCGUAACUAUAACGGUCCUAAGGUAGCGAAAUUCCUUGUCGGGUAAGUUCCGACCCGCACGAAAGGCGCAACGAUCUGGGCACUGUCUCAACGAGAGACUCGGUGAAAUUAUAGUACCUGUGAAGAUGCAGGUUACCCGCGACAGGACGGAAAGACCCCGUGGAGCUUUACUGCAACCUGAUAUGGAAUGUUUGUACCG